UCAUAUAACCUCUUCCAUCUCAGUUUCUGAAACAUAAAAUAGGAAAAUAAAUUCAGAGGGGGACUAAAAACAAAAAUCUCUCCUCUGAGAUAUUCUCCAAAAAGAUUGUAGAUGAAAUGGAUGAUUUGGAAGAAGAUACUAAGCGUGUCGACGACAAAGAAAAUGGUGAAACGAAGACGCCUGUUGUUGCAGGGAUCAAUCUUGUUUUGAUGAUGUCUUUCCUAUCGUUGUCCGAGGAAGAUGGCUCCAAAAUCGAUGAAAUCCAGGAAAUUGAAACGUCGGAUUCCGAACAUAAAUAUGUGCAUGGGCACAGCAUUCAGGCAAGAAGGCAGCAGGCAGCAAGUGAACCGGCUUCCGACCAUCGAAAGGCAAACAACGUCUAGGGUUCAUACCAAGAUAAGAGACUCUAGGCAUUGCAGACGAUUCUGAAUUUCCAAGAACGAGGCAUGCAUUCUACUUCUAGAUGGACCAAUUUUGCUUUGAGGCUUGCUUUUUUUAGGCAAGCUAGUUAGGAGAAGAAAUCAAAGUUUUUGUAGUUUGUUAA
Molecule: non-coding RNA, 544 nt
Organism: Salvia hispanica
Lineage: Eukaryota; Viridiplantae; Streptophyta; Magnoliopsida; Lamiales; Lamiaceae
Source: RefSeq, a predicted model, not a curated record